AAAGGCCUGCAGCUUGCUGCGGGUACUCGAGUGGCGAACGGGUGAGUAACACGUGGGUGAUCUGCCUUGCACUUCGGGAUAAGCUUGGGAAACUGGGUCUAAUACCGGAUAGGACAGCUGUUUAGUGUCAGUUGUGGAAAGUUUUUUCGGUGCAAGAUGAGCUCGCGGCCUAUCAGCUUGUUGGUGGGGUAAUGGCCUACCAAGGCGUCGACGGGUAGCCGGCCUGAGAGGGUGUACGGCCACAUUGGGACUGAGAUACGGCCCAGACUCCUACGGGAGGCAGCAGUGGGGAAUAUUGCACAAUGGGCGGAAGCCUGAUGCAGCGACGCCGCGUGGGGGAUGAAGGCCUUCGGGUUGUAAACUCCUUUCGACAGGGACGAAGCGUAAGUGACGGUACCUGUAUAAGAAGCACCGGCUAACUACGUGCCAGCAGCCGCGGUAAUACGUAGGGUGCGAGCGUUGUCCGGAAUUACUGGGCGUAAAGAGCUCGUAGGUGGUUUGUCGCGUCGUCUGUGAAAUUCCGGGGCUUAACUCCGGGCGUGCAGGCGAUACGGACUGACUUGAGUGCUGUAGGGGAGACUGGAAUUCCUGGUGUACGGUGAAAUGCGCAGAUAUCAGGAGGAACACCGAUGGCGAAGGCAGGUCUCUGGGCAGUAACUGACGCUGAGGAGCGAAAGCAUGGGUAGCGAACUAGAAUUAGAUACCCUGGUAGUCCUAUGCCGUAAACGGUGGGCGCUAGGUGUAGGGGGCUUCCACGUCUUCUGUGCCGUAGCUAACGCAUUAAGCGCCCCGCCUGGGGAGUACGGCCGCAAGGCUA
This 817-nucleotide ribosomal RNA is filed under the name uncultured Actinomycetes bacterium. RNAcentral's name for it is "bacterial SSU rRNA". It matches the Rfam family "Bacterial small subunit ribosomal RNA", at positions 70 to 896 of the family's 1533-position model. The record is from RNAcentral. Lineage: Bacteria; Bacillati; Actinomycetota; Actinomycetes.